RNAcentral lists this long non-coding RNA (635 nucleotides) under Astyanax mexicanus (Mexican tetra). Its description in RNAcentral is "lncRNA (ENSAMXG00005004812.1)". Lineage: Eukaryota; Metazoa; Chordata; Actinopteri; Characiformes; Acestrorhamphidae. The record is from RNAcentral.
CUUGUUGCUGCAGAAAGGUACAGCAGUUAGCUAACGUUAGCAGUCAGAGAUUGCUCUGUCAGAGACGAUGUAAGAUUAACUUCUUCGUUUAAACUGUUAAUUUAGCGGAUUCAUUAGGUUUUUGAGAGAUUUAGUGAAUUAAACAGAGUAUUGAAGUUACUGUGUGUUUAUAUUUAUGGUUAAUUACAGUAGGAAAACGUAUUUAUACGAAGCAAAGCAGAGCUAAUAUACUGCUUGGCUAACUAGAAUAGAUAGCUUAGUUAGCUACUCAGUACUGCAUGUGUAUGUAUGUGCUUUAUGUGUAUAUGAACUUUGUAUGGCUAGUGUUAUAAUCUCACAGAAAUAUGCUUAUUCAGUGUUUGUGUAGCAGUUACUUGUUUUGUGGUUCAUUUGUUUAGUCAAUACUGCAUACCUCUGUCUCUUAUCUGCAGAAACUGCUGCUUAGGUGUAUCUGUGCUACCUGCAGAAAUGAAGAUGUUCCAAGUCUUCUGUUCAUAUUCUUGAUUUUCCAACAUGACAAAAGUUUUUCUCCAUGAAAAUCCAAUCAAGAGACUUUACAAAUUCAAAAUGUUUAACUGCUGAAAGCGGUUAAGCAAAAGGCAUUCAAAAGAAUCUCCAAAUCAGCAAAAGUUGUU